Molecule: ribosomal RNA, 229 nt
Filed under: uncultured bacterium
Lineage: Bacteria
Description: partial 16S ribosomal RNA
Rfam family: Bacterial small subunit ribosomal RNA
Source: RNAcentral
UACGUAGGCGGAAAAUUAAGUCAGUAGUGAAAUCCUGCAGCUUAACUGUAGAACUGUUAUUGAUACUGGUUUUCUUGAAUUUAGUUGAGGUAGGCGGAACGUGUAAUGUAGCGGUGAAAUGCUUAGAUAUUACACAGAACACCGAUUGCGAAGGCAGCUUACUAAGCUAUGAUUGACGCUGAGGUACGAAAGCGUGGGGAGCGAACAGGAUUAGAUACCCUGGUAGUCC